This 475-nucleotide long non-coding RNA is filed under the name Rattus norvegicus (Norway rat). Its description in RNAcentral is "long non-coding RNA NONRATT007748". Lineage: Eukaryota; Metazoa; Chordata; Mammalia; Rodentia; Muridae. The record is from RNAcentral.
UCACCUGCCACUGUUCCUGCAAGCCUUGUUUCCUGACUAGUGCUACCUCAUCUUGUCAAAUCUCGGUGCUCAGCGGGGGCAAGGCCAAGUGCUCGCAGUUCUGCACCACAGGCAUGGACGGUGGCAUGAGCAUCUGGGAUGUGAAGAGCUUGGAGUCAGCCUUGAAGGACCUGAAGAUCAGAUGAGCUGUGAGGAGUGCUGUCCUCAUCCCACAUGCUGGGGAGGAGGGAAAGGGGUUGGGGAGGCUAAGGGCUGCUUUGCUGAAUGCUUCUAGGGUGUAGUACAGGUCUGCAAAGGGGAUGCUCUCUCUCCAAAGAGGGGAAGAGGAAGGUGGGGAACUUUCCUAUUUAAUGAAAAUGUGCCUUUUAAAGAGAUGCUUUCAUUCAUUGCAAACCAAAAACAAGACAAAAAACCCAAAGCACAAUGCUGGUCAUAAACUGCUUCAAAAUGUGGGCUAAUAAACAUACCAAAUGUG